RNAcentral lists this ribosomal RNA (253 nucleotides) under uncultured bacterium. RNAcentral describes it as "partial 16S ribosomal RNA". It matches the Rfam family "Bacterial small subunit ribosomal RNA", at positions 524 to 776 of the family's 1533-position model. The record is from RNAcentral.
UACGGGGGGGGCAAGCGUUGUUCGGAAUUACUGGGCGUAAAGGGUGCGUAGGCGGCUUUCUAAGUUGGAUGUGAAAACUCUGGGCUCAACCCAGAGCCUGCAUCCAAAACUGGAGAGCUUGGGUUCUGGAGGGGAAAGCGGAAUUCCUGGUGUAGCGGUGAAAUGCGUAGAUAUCAGGAGGAACACCGGUGGCGAAGGCGGCUUCCUGGACAGAUACCGACGCUGAGGCACGAAAGCUAGGGGAGCAAACAGG